AUUGAACGCUGGCGGCAGGCCUAACACAUGCAAGUCGAGCGGAUGAAGGGAGCUUGCUCCUGGAUUCAGCGGCGGAGGGGCGAGUGAGGGCUAGAAACCUGCCAGUCUGUUUUUUAGAACGUCCUGAAGCGGGCGCUAAUACCGCAUAAGCCCUGAGGGCGUACGGGGGGAAGCUGCGGACCUCCCGCCAUCGGAUGAGUCUAUGUCGGAUUAGCUAGUUGGCGGGGUAAAGGCCUACCAAGGCGACGAUCCGUAGCUGGUCUGAGAGGAUGAUCAGUCACACUGGAACUGAGACACGGUCCAGACUCCUACGGGAGGCAGCAGUGGGGAAUAUUGGACAAUGGGCGCAAGCCUGAUCCAGCCAUGCCGCGUGUGUGAAGAAGGUCUUCGGAUUGUAAAGCACUUUUAUUGGGGAAGAAGGGCAGUAAGUUAAUACCUCGCUGUUUUGACGGUACCAAAAGAAUAAGCACCGGCUAACUUCGUG
RNAcentral lists this ribosomal RNA (484 nucleotides) under uncultured bacterium. Its description in RNAcentral is "partial 16S ribosomal RNA". It matches the Rfam family "Bacterial small subunit ribosomal RNA", at positions 30 to 507 of the family's 1533-position model. The record is from RNAcentral.